Gallus gallus (chicken) is the source of this 742-nucleotide long non-coding RNA. The record is from Ensembl. NCBI's taxonomy places the organism in Eukaryota, Metazoa, Chordata, Aves, Galliformes, Phasianidae.
CUGCCUCUUAACUGGUAUGCUUCCAAUGCAGUAGUCAAAAAUGUACAGUUAAAUUACAGUUGAUAGUACGUGAUGAACACCUAGACAUGAGAGCAGCCUUAGGAAGUUUCUUAUCAUCUCACAACCGUCCAUGGCUCUCAAAUGAGAACAGAGGCCUGCCCCUUAAUCACUUCUAAUCCACCUCUGGAAACUCAUUUAAGGUCCCUUGUUUGCCUUUGCCUGGAGCAUAUGUGGAGCACUCAGACAGUUGGAUAUGAAUGGACCACCAUCCAAUAUGCAGGAACCACCAGCUCCAAGGCAAGCAGGUCCCUGGCUGCAGCAGCAUCCUUGGCAUUUGCACUCUAUGAUGAUGAACAUGGCAAGAGAAAAAACGAAGUAGAUUUUGCUUGGCUGAUUGAAGCAGUUAUGUCUUCUACCCUUUCCACUCUUCUGGAAGAGUUACUGUCUUGUGGCAAGGAUGGUUGGAUAAAGCAGGAAUCCAGUCCAAAAUUACCAGAAUUCACAGCUCCAUACAUAGCAGAAACUUGUGACAGCAUCUCCAAGAACCAGCAGCCUGACCUGUGAAGCACCAAGACAUGAUCAGUACUCCUUGCUUCAUCACCACCUGUCUCUUGGAGAAGGUGAAAAGCAGCCCUAAGAAUUACCCAUAGCUCUUACCUAACCCAGAAACAUGCACGAAUGCCCUUCCCAUUGUCUAUAGACUCCAUUUAAUAAGUCAUUAGCUCAAGCUGCAUUUCAAAAG